Molecule: non-coding RNA, 1501 nt
Organism: Equus caballus (horse)
Lineage: Eukaryota; Metazoa; Chordata; Mammalia; Perissodactyla; Equidae
Source: RefSeq, a predicted model, not a curated record
GGUGUGGGGUGGGAGGGGCUGGGCCCCCAGGGUGGAGUUGGCGGCCUCCCCUUCUUCUCUUGGUUUCCUUGUUUAUGAAAUGGGGCCAUCAACCAUCUCCCCCGGCCGAUGUCAGGUUGCAAGAGGUGGCGGAUGCCCACGAUGAACCCUCGUCGGUUCUCGUCGCCCACUGCGCUCUGUCCCACGCCCGCGCUGCUGCUUGUCUAGCGUUGGAGGUGAAGACGCUGAGGGUCUUCUAAGGGCGACGGUGCCUCAGCCUGUGCCCGUUGCCCUGUCCUCUAGGAAAGAGGGGCUCUGCUAUCUGGUGCACUCUGGGGUGGGGAGGUGGGGCCUGCCCUUGGGGGCCUACCCCUGAAAGGAGAAAGGGCCGCCAGAGCUCUCAAUGAUUGUGUCCUGAGAUGCUGGGCUACGUGUCUUAACCCAAAGAGUGGUUUUUCUGACCAAAUCAGGUCCUCAUGGAGCCACACAGGAGGGUUUUAUCCUAGAGAGGAAGGAGUGUAGUCAGAUUAUCCAGGUGAAAGGACCAGGGCCCGGGAUUCAGAUCCCAGCUCUUCCCAUCUUCACCCGUCCAGCAACACCUGCCCCUUCAGCCAAACACAGGUGUAAGCUGGGGGCAGGUGACACACGAGGGGACGUAAUUUAGCAGCAGAUGAGUGGUCGGUCCUGAGUCAGGAGUCAGGAGCUUAGAGGAGGGCAGGUCCCUAUGGACUGAGUCAGGGAAGGAUGCGUGCAGAAGGGCGGGAAUGAAGUGUGACCUUGAAGCGAGUGGGGGGACCCAAGGAGGAGAGGAUGGUGGAGGGAGAGCUCGCCCUUUCUCCGGAAGGUGGGGUGCCAUGGGGAUUCUGGGCGACUCUGGUUAGGUCUGAAUUCUUCUUAGCAGACAUCCCUCCCAUGAGAUGCUGUGUUGGAACUAAUGUUAUAGGGUGUUUGUCCUCCCAGCGCCCAUCCCACUGUCACCGGGAAUGAGUGACCGAGCCGUGGGGCAUUCUGGUGUUAAAAGUUUAAGGUGGAUCAUCAGUUGUAUUCGAUUCAGUCCAGUUAACAGUGAGCACCUGCAUGGGGCAGGCGCUGUUUCAGAUGCUUCAGGAGAGCCGUUCUUGACCUUAGAGUGCCCAUCUCAGGCAUGGGAGAUGGAUACCUACGCGGUCCGAGCCGUGGCCAACAUGCCGGAAGUCAGGCUAGUCACUGUUACAGACACGGUCCUGCUGGAGCUCAGAGAGGGAGCGGCUACCUCUGAUGGAUGAGGAAGUCAGAAAAAGCUUUCCAGCGGCUGACACAGAGUUUGCAGGGUAGAAAUGCCUUCCUGCAGGUCACAGCUCUGAAGGUGUUCGCUCCCAGUGACUAGUAAUUGCAUGGCACUGUGUGAGGAUGUUGGGCUCAGCAAAAUCUUCUUAGAGAUCCUCAUCGUGAAAAUAUGUUUUUUCCGCUUUAAUAGGUGAUGAGGUAAAAUGGUACUUCAUUUUAAUUUACAUUUCUUUGAAUACAAAUAAGAUUGACAAUC